GGCUAGAUAGCAGAGUGGUUAUGCAUAAGAUUGCAAAUCUUAAAAAGAUCGGUUCGAAUCCGAUUCUAGCUU
This 72-nucleotide transfer RNA is filed under the name Chondrus crispus (carragheen). RNAcentral's name for it is "tRNA-Cys". It matches the Rfam family "tRNA". Rfam says of the family: Transfer RNA (tRNA) molecules are approximately 80 nucleotides in length. Their secondary structure includes four short double-helical elements and three loops (D, anti-codon, and T loops). The record is from RNAcentral. Lineage: Eukaryota; Rhodophyta; Florideophyceae; Gigartinales; Gigartinaceae.